Molecule: ribosomal RNA, 499 nt
Filed under: uncultured bacterium
Lineage: Bacteria
Description: partial 16S ribosomal RNA
Rfam family: Bacterial small subunit ribosomal RNA
Source: RNAcentral
GACGAACGCUGGCGGCGUGCCUAAUACAUGCAAGUCGAGCGAAGUUUUUCUGGUGCUUGCACUAGAAGAACUUAGCGGCGAACGGGUGAGUAACACGUAAAGAACCUGCCUCAUAGACUGGGACAACUAUUGGAAACGAUAGCUAAUACCGGAUAACAGUAUUUCUCGCAUGAGAGAUAUUUAAAAGUUGGUUAUGCUAACACUAUGAGAUGGCUUUGCGGUGCAUUAGCUAGUUGGUGGGGUAAAGGCCCACCAAGGCGACGAUGCAUAGCCGACCUGAGAGGGUGAUCGGCCACACUGGGACUGAGACACGGCCCAGACUCCUACGGGAGGCAGCAGUAGGGAAUCUUCCGCAAUGGGCGAAAGCCUGACGGAGCAACGCCGCGUGAGUGAAGAAGGAUUUCGGUUCGUAAAGCUCUGUUGUUAGGGAAGAAUGGAUAUGUAGUAACUAUACAUGUAAGAGACGGUACCUAACCAGAAAGCCACGGCUAACUACGUG